UUGAAGAAGCCUUUCAGAUGGUAAAACACCUUAAGCAGUCAAGAAGACUCCUCCGGUUAAUGCCCGGAGACGAUGACAUUAGCUGCAAGAAUAAGCACCGGCUAACUCUGUGCCAGCAGCCGCGGUAAUACAGAAGUGCAAGCGUUAAUCGGAAAUUACUGGGCGUAAAGCGAGCGUAGGUGGCUUGAUAAGUCAGAUGUGAAAUCCCCGGGCUUAACCUGGGAACUGCAUCUGAAGCUGUUAGGCUAGAGUAGGUGAGAGGGAAGUAGAAUUUCAGGUGUAGCGGUGAAAUGCGUAGAGAUCUGAAGGAAUACCGAUUGCGAAGGCAGCUUCCUGGCAUCAUACUGACACUGAGGCUCGAAAGCGUGGGUAGCAAACAGGAUUAGAUACCCUGGUAGUCCACGCCGUAAACGAUGUCUACUAGUCGUUGGGUCCCUUGAGGACUUAGUGACGCAGCUAACGCAAUAAGUAGACCGCCUGGGGAGUACGGCCGCAAGGUUAAAACUCAAAUGAAUUGACGGGGGCCCGCACAAGCGGUGGAGCAUGUGGUUUAAUUCGAUGCAACGCGAAGAACCUUACCUGGUCUUGACAUAUCUAGAAUCCUGCAGAGAUGCGGGAGUGCCUUCGGGAAUUAGAAUACAGGUGCUGCAUGGCUGUCGUCAGCUCGUGUCGUGAGAUGUUGGGUUAAGUCCCGCAACGAGCGCAACCCUUGUCCUUAGUUACCAGCGGGUUAAGCCGGGAACUCUAAGGAUACUGCCAGUGACAAACUGGAGGAAGGCGGGGACGACGUCAAGUCAUCAUGGCCCUUACGACCAGGGCUACACACGUGCUACAAUGGUAGGUACAGAGGGCAGCUACACAGCGAUGUGAUGCGAAUCUCAAAAAGCCUAUCGUAGUCCAGAUUGGAGUCUGCAACUCGACUCCAUGAAGUAGGAAUCGCUAGUAAUCGCGGAUCAGAAUGCCGCGGUGAAUACGUUCCCGGGCCUUGUACACACCGCCCGUCACACCAUGGGAGUUGAUUGCACCAGAAGUGGAUAGCUUAACCUUCGGGGAGGCGUGCACCAACGGUGGGUGGGGCG
Molecule: ribosomal RNA, 1079 nt
Filed under: Psychrobacter sp. 3-19(2010)
Lineage: Bacteria; Pseudomonadati; Pseudomonadota; Gammaproteobacteria; Moraxellales; Moraxellaceae
Description: bacterial SSU rRNA
Rfam family: Bacterial small subunit ribosomal RNA
Source: RNAcentral